AGAGUUUGAUCCUGGCUCAGGAUGAACGCUGGCGGCGCGCUUAACACAUGCAAGUCGAACGAGAAUCAGUGGAACAAGGAUUCGUCUGAGGGAAGCUGAGGAAAGUGGCGGACGGGUGAGUAACGCGUGAGCAAUCUGCCUUGGAGUGGGGAAUAACGGCUGGAAACAGCCGCUAAUACCGCAUGAUGCAUCUGAGUCGCAUGGUUUGGAUGCCAAAGAUUUAUCGCUCUGAGAUGAGCUCGCGUCUGAUUAGCUAGUUGGCGGGGUAAUGGCCCACCAAGGCGACGAUCAGUAGCCGGACUGAGAGGUUGGCCGGCCACUUUGGGACUGAGACACGGACCAGACUCCUACGGGAGGCAGCAGUGAGGAAUAUUGGUCUGUGGGCGCGAGCCUGAACCAGCCUACUCGCGUGAGGGAAGACCGCCCUACGGGUUGUAAACCUCUUUUGCCGGGGAGCAACGGGCGUCACGAGUGACGCCACUGAGAGUACGCGGAGAAAAAGCAUCUGCUAUCUCCGUGCCAGCAGCCGCGGUACUACGGAGGAUGCGAGCGUUAUCCUGAUUUAUUGGG
RNAcentral lists this ribosomal RNA (570 nucleotides) under uncultured bacterium. RNAcentral's name for it is "bacterial SSU rRNA". It matches the Rfam family "Bacterial small subunit ribosomal RNA", at positions 8 to 558 of the family's 1533-position model. The record is from RNAcentral.